UACGGAGGGUGCAAACGUUGCUCGGAAUCAUUGGGCGUAAAGCGCACGUAGGCGGUUCGGUAAGUCGGAUGUGAAAUCCCUCGGCUUAACCGAGGAAGUGCAUCCGAAACUGCCGAGCUUGAGUACGGAAGAGGGUCUCGGAAUUCCCGGUGUAGAGGUGAAAUUCGUAGAUAUCGGGAGGAACACCAGUGGCGAAGGCGGAGACCUGGGCCGAUACUGACGCUGAGGUGCGAAAGCGUGGGGAGCAAAC
RNAcentral lists this ribosomal RNA (250 nucleotides) under uncultured bacterium. RNAcentral describes it as "partial 16S ribosomal RNA". It matches the Rfam family "Bacterial small subunit ribosomal RNA", at positions 524 to 773 of the family's 1533-position model. The record is from RNAcentral.